UGCUAUUGUUACCUUGUGGCUCUCCAGUUCUGGCCAGGGUAUUUUCUUGUGGUUGUGCUUUUAAUAGUUCAUCCUGUUAUAAUUUUCAAAGGCAACAUCAUCUGCAUGAAUUCUUUUUAUGCCAGUUGUAAAACAGCCAUGAUAAUUAUUAUCAUUAGGUGAUUCUCACCACACAAAAGGGGGCAUGGCAUCUGCCGGGCAGGGAAGGUUAUUUAGGAGCCAACAAAGCCAGGAGGUGGGCAGGCAGCACUCGCAGUCUGCGCUGGAACGAGCAGAGUCUGGGCUGGGGAGAGCUGGGGCGCGUGUCACUUGAGUGUGCGUCUCCACUGCCCACAAAACACUUCCCUUAGAAACAAAGGCAAAAAGGAAGCCCAACAUAGAAAACGUGAAACCAAAAAACAGCAGAUUCAUUCAUUCAAGACACAUGUGUUGAGCCCUAAUUAUAUGCUUGACACAGGUCUAGGCUCUAGUGAGGAACCUGAAACGAGGCAACACUCCUCCCUGCCCAGAGGUAGCACAGGUGUUCCAGAGGGAGAGAGCGAUAAUGAGCACUUGCAUAUUUAAUAUAACGGAGAAAGCAGAGAACAAGGGGAGGAGAUAAAGGCUGACCAGAGGGCAGGGGGCCUAUUUCACAUGGAGGUCAUGGGAAACAUCUGAGGGAGAUGACAUUUGGGAAGAGACCUAAUGAAGUGAGUAAGUCGUAAGAAUUCAGGGGAGAAGGGAAGUGUUCUAAGUGGAAAGGACCAGCAAGUGCAAAGUCCCUGAGGCAUACACGAAUGUGAUCCGGGAAGUGCAAAGGCCUUGAGGCAUACACGAAUGUGAUCCAGGAAGAGCAAAGUGGUCCUCCAGGCAAUCACAGAAAGAGAGGGCAAGAACAAUGGGGUGGAGGUCGAUGAGCUACGCAGGAAGCAGGUCAGGAUGGAUACCACAGGCUGCACAGUGAGGAGUUUGGAUGGAAUUGUGGGAUUUUGGUGGGCAGGAGAGAGGAUGAUAUGAUUUGUGUGUAUAGAGAUCGGCUAUAGGGUUGCAAGAGUCUGAAACAUGGAGAAGAAUUUGCAGGCGUUUGCGUUAGCCUAGGCCUGCAAUGGUGAUGGCUCUGAAAGGAGUGGAGGCAAAUGUGAGGAGCAGGUGCAUUUGAGCUGUGCUUUGCAGGUAGAACUGGGGGCCUUGCUGAUGGAGUGAAUGUGAGGAGGGUGAGAGAAAAGAUAAACUAUUACAGCAUAGUAGUGCUUACAAGCAAAGACUAACCCUAACCCUAGGGUUAGGAGAUGAUAAGAGCCUACGUCGUUCAAGUCUUUGCUCCUUACUAGCUGUGUAAAUUUGGGCAAGGUAUUUAACCUGUCUGUGCCCAUCUGUAAAAUGGGGAUGGUCAUAGUAUCUCCUUUGACUGGGGAUUGUGAGUGUGCAUGGGACACACACACACACACACACACGUGUUUAGAACACAAUCUGGCCUCCAAUAAGAAUAUAUGUGUUAGUAAUUACUAUUAUUGGUGAAUUAAGCAAUUAGGUGAAUUUGGUGCCAUUUACUGAGAUGGAGAAGACUGGAGGAGGAGUGAAUUUUGGGGAAAAUCUUAGGAAUUCUGUUUCGGAAGUGUUCAGUUUAAGAUGUUUAUCAGACUUAUACACAGAGGUGUUGAGCUGGACAUAGGAAUCUGAAGGUCCCAGGGAAAAAGGAACUAGAAAUAGAGAUGCGAUCUUUAAAGCAUGACUCCUGAAAGAGAUCAGAAACAUUGAGAGCUUGGGGAAAGGAGGAAGAGUCAGCAAAGGGAGUUAAAAGAAAGGGCCGACAGUGUUGGAGAAAAUUAAGUGUUCAUUUUCUAAGAGAAACAGUGCUUCAAGAAAGAGGCAAGGCCAACUCACAAAGUCCAGUAAAGUUUGGAGCCAUGGACGCUGCAACUUGUACAAGAGGCUUCAGUGUUGUGUGAGGUCAGACGCCUUUGCGGAGUGGGCCUGGAGAGCAGGCAGGUGAGAAAGUGCAGAUGGUGUAUUAGAAAGGCAGCCGCCAGGGUGCCUCCGCCCAGAUGCGUGCAAGCUUGAGCUUUACAAACCCUUCACUUUCAUGUUGGCACUGCUGUAAGGCCCAUGGUUUUCUUGUUCCCUUCCUAUUCUUUCAGGAAGGAAUCAGAGUCAGCAAUGAUGGUUCUGUUGCUUAAAACUAGUGACACUGGCACACUCACCUGAAUGGUGCACAACUUGGCACAAACGGAUUUAUGGAUGACUGAUGUCCUUAUAAGAAGAGAGAGAGGCAUGACGGCCAUGGGAGGACACAGCAAGGGGCGCCAUCUGCAAGACAAGGAGAGGUCUCAGAAGAAACCAGGCAUGCCGAUCUUGAUCUCGAUCACUCACUUGCGGCCUCUGAAACUCAAAAACGUGUUGUUUAAGCCAACCUGUCUCUGGUACUUUGUCACAGCAGCUGGAGCUGACUAAUACACUUAACCUCACAUACCUA
Molecule: long non-coding RNA, 2452 nt
Organism: Gorilla gorilla gorilla (western lowland gorilla)
Lineage: Eukaryota; Metazoa; Chordata; Mammalia; Primates; Hominidae
Exons: 2
Source: RefSeq, a predicted model, not a curated record